RNAcentral lists this long non-coding RNA (291 nucleotides) under Carica papaya (papaya). RNAcentral describes it as "long non-coding RNA (CPAP_LNC016200)". The record is from RNAcentral. Lineage: Eukaryota; Viridiplantae; Streptophyta; Magnoliopsida; Brassicales; Caricaceae.
GGAUCAAAUAAGCUUUCUGCAUACCUCUUUUUAUACUGAAUUUUCAUUGACUUUGAAUAGGAAUAUGUAUAUGAUCAAUCUAGAAAAAGAGGCUAAAUAAGAGUCCAAGUCGAACUCAAAAACAUAUUGUCCUCAGUUGUCCUGCCCGCGUAGGCUUGCUGCUGUGAGCAUGCAGCGUGCGCUAGAAGUCUCCUCGUGCUCGUACAUACGACUUUAGCUGUCCAUAUAAACGCGCCGCUACGCACAUUCUAUUGUGCACAUAAUCUAUUCCCCUGCACCCUUUGCGUGCUA